UGGCCCAAAGACCACAGUGUCAGUCAGUCCCUCUGGUGAAAUAGUGGAGGGCAGUUCAGUGACUCUGACCUGCAGCAGUGAUGCCAACCCUCCUGUGCAGAGUUACACCUGGUGGUACAAGAAGAAUGGAGGUGACUAUCAGAGUAUGACAGGACCACAGCAUGUCUUCAAUCAAAUCCAGUCAUCUGACAGUGGAGAGUACUACUGUGAGGCCCAGAAUGAGAUGGGGACAGACUGGUCUAGGACCAUAAACAUGGAUGUGAAAUAUGACCCAAAGAGCACCUCAGUGUCAGUCAGACCCUCUGGUGAAAUAGUGGAGGGCAGUUCAGUGACUCUGACCUGCAGCAGUGAUGCCAACCCACCUGUGGAUAAAUACACCUGGUACAAGAAGAAUGGAGCUUCACUGACAGGAUCUGAAAAGACAUACAAUUUCACAACCAUCAGCUCUGAGGACAGAGGAGAAUACUACUGUGGGGCUGAGAAUAAAUAUGGACGUCUCAACUCUUCUUCUGUGUCUGUGGACGUUCAGUGUUAGUACAUCUAACCUCAUCUUUUGAUCAGAGGAUCACAUUUAAAUUCAUAUUUCAAUAACAAGUAAAACACUAUUUAAAACACUGUUGUAACAUAUUGUCCACCAGACGACCCAAAGAACACCUCAGUGUCAGUCAGUCCCUCUGGUGACAUAGUGGAGGGCAGUUCAGUGACUCUGACCUGCAGCAGUGAUGCCAACCCACCUGGACAAAUACACCUGGUACUUUCAAAAUAAGACUUUUCAAAAUGGAUUUGGACAGAUGUACAACAUAAGUAAGUUCAAGUCUAAGGACAAUGGACAUUACCACUGUGAGGCCUGGAAUGGAAGAGGAUCUAUGAACUCUACAGCUCUGAUGAUCAGUUUACCAGGGAAACAGACCUCAGUUAUGAAUGCAGCUGUAGGAAUCAUAGUGGUUGUUCUGGUUCUCAUCCUCUGUCUCUCUGGACUCAUGUGGUUCAGGAAGAAGGCCUCCAAAUCCACCUCUGACACAAGACACACAGCAGACAACAGACAGGGAGACUCUAGUCCAGUGUAUGACAACAUCUCAAGCAUGGCCAUGACCCCUACUGCAGCACAGACAGCAGCCACAGACGACCAGGAUGAUGUUCACUACGCCAGCGUCCACUUCUCUCGCGCCAAAUACGAGGAAGUGCCUCUGUACUCCACCGUCCAGCUGCCUCAAGCACAGAAACAAGACGAAGACUUCCAAUACGCUGCUGUGAAAUUCAACCUCCCCAGUGCUGCCCCCAAACCUGUGGCGGCACAAGCAGCUGAGGAGGACCGCUCUGAGAUCUACAGUAGAAUCAACAAACCCAGAACCAAGAAGACCUGAACACAACAAACCCAGAACCAAGAAGACCUGACACAAAAAGUUUAACAAAAACCUUGUACACUAUAUAUACAAAAGUGGACACCCCUUCAAAUUAGUGGAUUCAGCUAUCUCAGCCUCACCCAUUGCUGAUAGGUGUAUAAAAUCGAGCACACAACCAUUCAAUCUCCAUAAACAAACAUUGGCAGUAGAAUGGCCUUACUGAAGAGCUCAGUGACUUUCAACGUGGCACUGUCAUAGGAUGCCACCUUUCCAACAAGUCAGUUUGUCAAAUUUCUUCCCUGCUAAAGCUGCCCCGGUCAACUGUAAGUGCUGUUAUUGUGAAGUGGAAAUGUCUAGGAGCAACAACUGCUCAGCCGCAAAGCGGUAGGCCACACAGCGGUGAAGUGGUAGUGCAGAGCGCAUAAAAAUCGCCUGUCCUCUGUUGCAACACUCCCUACCAAGUUCCAAACUGCCUCUGGCAGCAACGCUAGCACAACAACUGUUCGUCGGGAGCUUCAUGAAAUGGGUUUCCAUGGCCGAGCAGCCGCACGCAAGCCUAAGAUUACCAUGUGCAAUGCCAAGCGUCGGCUGGAGUGGUGUAAACCUCGCCACCAUUGGACUCUGGAGACAUUGACUCUGUUGCACACACACCAUUGCAUAUUGACACAUUGACUCUGGACCGGUACCCCUGUAUAUAGCCCCCGCUAUUGUUAUUUACUGCUGCUCUUUAAUUAUUUGUUUUUCUUAUCUCUUACUUUUUAUUUGUAUUUUUUUAGGUUUCUUAAAACUGCAUUGUUGGUUAAUA
This is a long non-coding RNA of Salmo trutta (river trout), 2148 nucleotides long. Ensembl lists it as uncharacterized. The record is from Ensembl. NCBI's taxonomy places the organism in Eukaryota, Metazoa, Chordata, Actinopteri, Salmoniformes, Salmonidae.